This 497-nucleotide ribosomal RNA is filed under the name uncultured bacterium. Its description in RNAcentral is "SSU rRNA". It matches the Rfam family "Bacterial small subunit ribosomal RNA", at positions 26 to 518 of the family's 1533-position model. The record is from RNAcentral.
AGAUUGAACGCUGGCGGCGUGCCUAACACAUGCAAGUCGAGCGGUAACAGGUGUAGCAAUACAUGCUGACGAGCGGCGAACGGGUGAGUAAUGCUUUGGAAUCUUCCCAGUAGUGGGGAAUAACCAGUCGAAAGAUUGGCUAAUACCGCAUACGUCUGUAAAGGGAAAGCGGGGGCUCGUAAGACCUCGCGCUAUUGGAUGAGCCAAAGUCGGAUUAGCUAGUUGGUGGGGUAAUGGCCUACCAAGGCGACAAUCCGUAGCUGGUCUGAGAGGACGACCAGCCACACCGGAACUGAGACACGGUCCGGACUCCUACGGGAGGCAGCAGUGGGGGAAUAUUGGACAAUGGGGGAAACCCUGAUCCAGCGACGCCGCGUGUGUGAAGAAGGCCUGCGGGUUGUAAAGCACUUUUAGUGGGGACAAAAGCUACGGACUAAUAUUCUGUGGUCUUGAUUUAACCCAAGAAAAGCACCGGCUAACUCUGUGCCAGCAGCCGC